This 479-nucleotide ribosomal RNA is filed under the name uncultured Magnetospirillum sp. Its description in RNAcentral is "bacterial SSU rRNA". It matches the Rfam family "Bacterial small subunit ribosomal RNA", at positions 61 to 587 of the family's 1533-position model. The record is from RNAcentral. Lineage: Bacteria; Pseudomonadati; Pseudomonadota; Alphaproteobacteria; Rhodospirillales; Rhodospirillaceae.
GUCGACGAUACCUUCGGGUAUAGUGGCGCACGGGUGAGUAACACGUGGGAAUAUACCUUUCAGUGGGGGAUAACAUCGGGAAACUGAUGCUAAUACCGCAUACGCCCUUAGGGGGAAAGAUUUAUCGCUGAAAGAUUAGCCCGCGUCCGAUUAGCUAGUUGGUGAGGUAAUGGCUCACCGAGGCGACGAUCGGUAGCUGGUCUGAGAGGAUGACCAGCCACACUGGGACUGAGACACGGCCCAGACUCCUACGGGAGGCAGCAGUGGGGAAUAUUGGACAAUGGGCGCAAGCCUGAUCCAGCCAUGCCGCGUGAGUGAUGAAGGCCUUAGGGUUGUAAAGCUCUUUCGACGGGGACGAUGAUGACGGUACCCGUAGAAGAAGCCCCGGCUAACUUCGUGCCAGCAGCCGCGGUAAUACGAAGGGGGCUAGCGUUGUUCGGAAUUACUGGGCGUAAAGCGCACGCAGGCGGUUCGAUUAG